Molecule: non-coding RNA, 72 nt
Organism: Podarcis lilfordi (Lilford's wall lizard)
Lineage: Eukaryota; Metazoa; Chordata; Lepidosauria; Squamata; Lacertidae
Source: the annotation of a GenBank genome assembly
GGAGGGAUGUAGCUCAGUGGUAGAGUAUCUGUUUGCAUACAGAAGUCCCAAGUUCAAAGCUUGAUGUCUCCA